Molecule: ribosomal RNA, 701 nt
Filed under: uncultured Bacteroidales bacterium
Lineage: Bacteria; Pseudomonadati; Bacteroidota; Bacteroidia; Bacteroidales
Description: bacterial SSU rRNA
Rfam family: Bacterial small subunit ribosomal RNA
Source: RNAcentral
GCAAGAUAACGCUAGCUACAGGCUUAACACAUGCAAGUCGAGGGGCAGCAUUUUAGUUUGCUUGCAAACUGAAGAUGGCGACCGGCGCACGGGUGAGUAACACGUAUCCAACCUGCCGAUAACUCCGGAAUAGCCUUUCGAAAGAAAGAUUAAUACCGGAUGGCAUACGAAUAUCGCAUGAUAUUUUUAUUAAAGAAUUUCGGUUAUCGAUGGGGAUGCGUUCCAUUAGUUUGUUGGCGGGGUAACGGCCCACCAAGACUACGAUGGAUAGGGGUUCUGAGAGGAAGGUCCCCCACAUUGGAACUGAGACACGGUCCAAACUCCUACGGGAGGCAGCAGUGAGGAAUAUUGGUCAAUGGGCGCGAGCCUGAACCAGCCAAGUAGCGUGAAGGAUGAAGGCUCUAUGGGUCGUAAACUUCUUUUAUAUGGGAAUAAAGUUUUCCACGUGUGGAAUUUUGUAUGUACCAUAUGAAUAAGGAUCGGCUAACUCCGUGCCAGCAGCCGCGGUAAUACGGAGGAUCCGAGCGUUAUCCGGAUUUAUUGGGUUUAAAGGGAGCGUAGGUGGAUUGUUAAGUCAGUUGUGAAAGUUUGCGGCUCAACCGUAAAAUUGCAGUUGAAACUGGCAGUCUUGAGUACAGUAGAGGUGGGCGGAAUUCGUGGUGUAGCGGUGAAAUGCUUAGAUAUCACGAAGAACUCCGAUU